UGCAGUCGAGCGGUAAGGCCCUUCGGGGUACACGAGCGGCGAACGGGUGAGUAACACGUGAGCAACCUGCCCCUGACUCCGGGAUAAGCGGUGGAAACGCCGUCUAAUACCGGAUACGACCCUCCACCUCAUGGUGGUGGGUGGAAAGUUUUUCGGUCGGGGAUGGGCUCGCGGCCUAUCAGCUUGUUGGUGGGGUAACGGCCUACCAAGGCGAUUACGGGUAGCCGGCCUGAGAGGGCGACCGGCCACACUGGGACUGAGACACGGCCCAGACUCCUGCGGGAGGCAGCAGUGGGGAAUAUUGCGCAAUGGGCGAAAGCCUGACGCAGCGACGCCGCGUGGGGGAUGACGGCCUUCGGGUUGUAAACCUCUUUUACCACUCACGCAGGCUCCACGUUUUCGUGGGGUUGACGGUAGGUGGGGAAUAAGGACCGGCUAACUACGUGCCAGCAGCCGCGGUAAUACGUAGGGUCCGAGCGUUGUCCGGAAUUAUUGGGCGUAAAGAGCUCGUAGGCGGCGUGUCGCGUCUGCUGUGAAAGACCGGGGCUUAACCCCGGUUCUGCAGUGGAUACGGGCAUGCUAGAGGUAGGUAGGGGAGACUGGAAUUCCUGGUGUAGCGGUGAAAUGCGCAGAUAUCAGGAGGAACACCGGUGGCGAAGGCGGGUCUC
RNAcentral lists this ribosomal RNA (668 nucleotides) under Nocardiopsis sp. 11492. Its description in RNAcentral is "bacterial SSU rRNA". It matches the Rfam family "Bacterial small subunit ribosomal RNA", at positions 56 to 729 of the family's 1533-position model. The record is from RNAcentral. Lineage: Bacteria; Bacillati; Actinomycetota; Actinomycetes; Streptosporangiales; Nocardiopsidaceae.